RNAcentral lists this transfer RNA (75 nucleotides) under Gemmata obscuriglobus. RNAcentral describes it as "tRNA-Leu". It matches the Rfam family "tRNA". Rfam says of the family: Transfer RNA (tRNA) molecules are approximately 80 nucleotides in length. The record is from RNAcentral. Lineage: Bacteria; Pseudomonadati; Planctomycetota; Planctomycetia; Gemmatales; Gemmataceae.
GGCACGGUACGCCAACCGGGAGUGCGGCCAAGCUCAAACCUUGGUGCGUGUGGGUUCGAAUCCCUCCCGUGCUAC